UGAAAGUGCAUCUGCAACUUCCUCCUCCCUCUCCAGGCAGCAGAAGCUUUAGCGUGACUAGCUGAAAGGUCUCACUGGCACUGGAUCAUAGCUCAGAGUAAGACGGGAGAAUGUACUUCAUUGUUUUCCUCCCAAAAGGAAAGAUAAGAUUGCAAGGUCAGAGGAAAUCAGUAAAAUGACAGACAAUGUGUGGACUGCUGUGUCUUCAUUCAUUCUACCAGUCACGCUGAUAAUCAAGAGAGGUCGUCAGGAGAUUUCAAUCACACUCGGAAACUGGGAGAGGUCAUUUAGCUUUCAUGCUGCGAGAGGGAGAAAGAAGAGUGACAAGGCCCAGAGGGUUCAUCGAUUUUGGAAAGUUGUGAGUAUGGCCUGCUAUGGUGAAAGUGGAUAGAGGAGAAAAAGGACAGCUGAGAGUUAAGAAUUACUAGGAGAUGGCAAAGACAUUGGAAAGUUGUAUGCAUGUCCAGCCUUGCUUCUACCCAGUCCCAACAUCCAGCCUGAGCUGCAGCUGCAGAUAGAACUUGGGCAGAGGGGCUGGGGAUUUAGCUCAGUGGCAAAGCGCCUGCCUAGCAAGCGCAAGGUCGUGAGUUCGGUUCCCGGUACCAGAGAAAAACCAAAAAAAAAAAAAAAAAGAACUUGGGAAGAAAGGCAGGCACUGGGUGCUGGGAGCUUCAUGUUCUGUGGCUGGCUUGGUAGGAACUACGGAGUGGUCCCUUGAGCUGAACCACAGUGUGGAGUCAAGUACUAGAGAGCAGCAGGGUAAGGAACUGAAUGCAGAGGAUCCUGAGAAGCUCUAGUUCAGAGACCUGUAGGUCUUCAGGAAAAUGAUCAGUAUAAACCCUAUUUAUAGGGUUUUUCUGGUACCUAGAGAGCUGAAGUGCCUCCCUACCUCUGAAGGUGAGGAGAGCAAAAGGACACCAAGAAGCAGAAGACUUUUUUUGCUCCCCUAAAACAAAAGAGAAAGACUGAGGAGAUUAAGAGAGCCAAAUCCAUGGUGGAAG
RNAcentral lists this long non-coding RNA (1001 nucleotides) under Chinchilla lanigera (long-tailed chinchilla). RNAcentral's name for it is "lncRNA (ENSCLAG00000025557.1)". Lineage: Eukaryota; Metazoa; Chordata; Mammalia; Rodentia; Chinchillidae. The record is from RNAcentral.